Molecule: ribosomal RNA, 98 nt
Filed under: Pteropus alecto (black flying fox)
Lineage: Eukaryota; Metazoa; Chordata; Mammalia; Chiroptera; Pteropodidae
Source: RNAcentral
GUCUAUAGCCAUGCCACCCUGAACAUGCCCUAUCCCGUCUGAUCUUGGAAGCUAAGCAGGGUCGGGCCGGACCCCGAGGAAACUGGUUGUGGUAGGCA